RNAcentral lists this ribosomal RNA (767 nucleotides) under Escherichia coli. Its description in RNAcentral is "partial 23S ribosomal RNA". It matches the Rfam family "Bacterial large subunit ribosomal RNA", at positions 426 to 1194 of the family's 2925-position model. Lineage: Bacteria; Pseudomonadati; Pseudomonadota; Gammaproteobacteria; Enterobacterales; Enterobacteriaceae. The record is from RNAcentral.
GUGGUAUCCUGUCUGAAUAUGGGGGGACCAUCCUCCAAGGCUAAAUACUCCUGACUGACCGAUAGUGAACCAGUACCGUGAGGGAAAGGCGAAAAGAACCCCGGCGAGGGGAGUGAAAAAGAACCUGAAACCGUGUACGUACAAGCAGUGGGAGCACGCUUAGGCGUGUGACUGCGUACCUUUUGUAUAAUGGGUCAGCGACUUAUAUUCUGUAGCAAGGUUAACCGAAUAGGGGAGCCGAAGGGAAACCGAGUCUUAACUGGGCGUUAAGUUGCAGGGUAUAGACCCGAAACCCGGUGAUCUAGCCAUGGGCAGGUUGAAGGUUGGGUAACACUAACUGGAGGACCGAACCGACUAAUGUUGAAAAAUUAGCGGAUGACUUGUGGCUGGGGGUGAAAGGCCAAUCAAACCGGGAGAUAGCUGGUUCUCCCCGAAAGCUAUUUAGGUAGCGCCUCGUGAAUUCAUCUCCGGGGGUAGAGCACUGUUUCGGCAAGGGGGUCAUCCCGACUUACCAACCCGAUGCAAACUGCGAAUACCGGAGAAUGUUAUCACGGGAGACACACGGCGGGUGCUAACGUCCGUCGUGAAGAGGGAAACAACCCAGACCGCCAGCUAAGGUCCCAAAGUCAUGGUUAAGUGGGAAACGAUGUGGGAAGGCCCAGACAGCCAGGAUGUUGGCUUAGAAGCAGCCAUCAUUUAAAGAAAGCGUAAUAGCUCACUGGUCGAGUCGGCCUGCGCGGAAGAUGUAACGGGGCUAAACCAUGCAC